This 87-nucleotide microRNA precursor is filed under the name Echinops telfairi (small Madagascar hedgehog). RNAcentral describes it as "miRNA (ENSETEG00000025515.1)". Lineage: Eukaryota; Metazoa; Chordata; Mammalia; Afrosoricida; Tenrecidae. The record is from RNAcentral.
AGUGGAGCUGCUGGUUUAUAUGGUAAUUCCUCACUUAACUCUUGGAGGACCAAUGAAGUUGGUUUUAACAGCAGCUGUACCAUUUGC